GACCGCGCCGAGCUCUUUUGCUGCAUUUGCAACGAUCAAGUCUACGACGCCGACUUCGACUGGGUCGUCGUGUGCGCUCAGUCUGGAAAGAAGCACAGCGUCGUAAGUAGCGGGAGUGGAAACGCUGGCGGUGGUGGUGAUGGUUGCGGCGGAGAUAGUGGAAAUGGUGCCAGCCUUCUGGCAAAGCAUACCUCUUUCUCGAACGGGAGGACGAGUGGAAACGCUGGCGGUGGUGGCGGAGAUAGAAUCGAUGGUGGAAAAAGUGCUAGUUCUCUGGCAAAGUGUACCUCUUUCUCCAACGGGAGGACGGCUCCUCCUCUCAAUGUGUAUAGCCGGAAGAGGAACCGAGGGGCCGAGUACAAGCCGUGGG
This 370-nucleotide long non-coding RNA is filed under the name Selaginella moellendorffii. RNAcentral's name for it is "long non-coding RNA (SMOE_LNC000901)". Lineage: Eukaryota; Viridiplantae; Streptophyta; Lycopodiopsida; Selaginellales; Selaginellaceae. The record is from RNAcentral.